This 252-nucleotide ribosomal RNA is filed under the name uncultured bacterium. RNAcentral's name for it is "partial 16S ribosomal RNA". It matches the Rfam family "Bacterial small subunit ribosomal RNA", at positions 524 to 776 of the family's 1533-position model. The record is from RNAcentral.
UACGUAGGUCCCGAGCGUUGUCCGGAUUUAUUGGGCGUAAAGCGAGCGCAGGUGGUUUAUUAAGUCUGGUGUAAAAGGCAGUGGCUCAACCAUUGUAUGCAUUGGAAACUGGUAGACUUGAGUGCAGGAGAGGAGAGUGGAACUCCAUAUGUAGCGGUGAAAUGCGUAGAUAUAUGGAGGAACACCGGUGGCGAAAGCGGCUCUCUGGCCUGUAACUGACACUGAGGCUCGAAAGCGUGGGGAGCAAACAGG